ACUGUUUUGGCAGAAAAGUGCAACGGAUUUAGAAUUUGUAAAUGUAAUUAUGAAAUUACAAACAGUA
RNAcentral lists this transfer RNA (67 nucleotides) under Pycnoscelus surinamensis (Surinam cockroach). Its description in RNAcentral is "tRNA-Leu". It matches the Rfam family "tRNA". Rfam says of the family: Transfer RNA (tRNA) molecules are approximately 80 nucleotides in length. Their secondary structure includes four short double-helical elements and three loops (D, anti-codon, and T loops). Lineage: Eukaryota; Metazoa; Arthropoda; Insecta; Blattodea; Blaberidae. RNAcentral also lists the same sequence under 1 other name. The record is from RNAcentral.